RNAcentral lists this transfer RNA (58 nucleotides) under Ursus americanus (American black bear). It matches the Rfam family "tRNA", at positions 8 to 63 of the family's 71-position model. From Rfam's summary of the family: Transfer RNA (tRNA) molecules are approximately 80 nucleotides in length. Lineage: Eukaryota; Metazoa; Chordata; Mammalia; Carnivora; Ursidae. The record is from Rfam by way of RNAcentral. RNAcentral also lists the same sequence under 2 other names.
UGGCUCAGUUGGUAGAGCAUGUGACUCUUGAUCUUGAGGUUGUGAGUUCAAGCCCCAC